Molecule: non-coding RNA, 112 nt
Filed under: Roseisalinus antarcticus
Lineage: Bacteria; Pseudomonadati; Pseudomonadota; Alphaproteobacteria; Rhodobacterales; Roseobacteraceae
Description: TPP sequence
Rfam family: TPP riboswitch aptamer (THI element)
About the family: Vitamin B(1) in its active form thiamin pyrophosphate (TPP) is an essential coenzyme that is synthesised by coupling of pyrimidine and thiazole moieties in bacteria. The previously detected thiamin-regulatory element, thi box was extended, resulting in a new, highly conserved RNA secondary structure, the THI element, which is widely distributed in eubacteria and also occurs in some archaea.
Source: Rfam by way of RNAcentral
CAGCUCAAUCAGGGGUGCUCCGUAAUGUCGGGGCUGAGAUGUCGGGCGCAAGCCUGCGGACCCUUUAGCUGAUCUGGGUAAUGCCAGCGGAGCGAGGUGAAAAUGUUUUCCG